CAAAGUUCAGUUGGUAGAGCAUGAAACUCCUAAUCUCAGGGUUGUGGGUUUAAGUCCACUUUGGGGGGAAAGA
Non-coding RNA from Podarcis lilfordi (Lilford's wall lizard), 73 nucleotides. NCBI's taxonomy places the organism in Eukaryota, Metazoa, Chordata, Lepidosauria, Squamata, Lacertidae. The record is from the annotation of a GenBank genome assembly.